UGCCCGCAAGGGAAUGUAGUGAGAGGUGCUGCAUGGCUGUCGUCAGCUCGUGUUGUGAAAUGUUGGGUUAAGUCUCGCAACGAGCGCGACCCCUAUCGUCUGUUGCCAGCAUUAAGUUGGGCACUCUGACGAGACUGCCUGGGUUAACCAGGGGGAAGGUGGGGAUGACGUCAAGUCCUCAUGGCCCUUAUGUCUAGGGCUACACACGUAAUACAAUGGCGCGUACAAAGGGAAGCGAACUCGCAAGGGGGAGCAAAUCUCAAAAAGCGCGUCUCAGUUCGGAUUGGAGUCUGCAACUCGACUCCAUGAAGUUGGAAUCGCUAGUAAUCGGAGAUCAGCACGCUCC
This 346-nucleotide ribosomal RNA is filed under the name uncultured Peredibacter sp. RNAcentral's name for it is "bacterial SSU rRNA". It matches the Rfam family "Bacterial small subunit ribosomal RNA", at positions 1014 to 1360 of the family's 1533-position model. Lineage: Bacteria; Pseudomonadati; Bdellovibrionota; Bacteriovoracia; Bacteriovoracales; Bacteriovoracaceae. The record is from RNAcentral.